RNAcentral lists this transfer RNA (74 nucleotides) under Loranthus grewingkii. RNAcentral describes it as "tRNA-His". Lineage: Eukaryota; Viridiplantae; Streptophyta; Magnoliopsida; Santalales; Loranthaceae. The record is from RNAcentral.
AUGCGCGGGUUCAAUUCCCGUCGUUCGCCGUGGAUGUAGCCAAGUGGAUCAAGGCAGUGGAUUGUGAAUCCACC